AGAACGAACGCUGGCGGCAUGCCUAAUACAUGCAAGUCGAACGAACUCUUCGGAGUUAGUGGCGCACGGGUGCGUAACGCGUGGGAAUCUGCCCCUUGGUUCGGAAUAACAGUUGGAAACGACUGCUAAUACCGGAUGAUGACGAAAGUCCAAAGAUUUAUCGCCAAGGGAUGAGCCCGCGUAGGAUUAGCUAGUUGGUGAGGUAAAGGCUCACCAAGGCAACGAUCCUUAGCUGGUCUGAGAGGAUGAUCAGCCAC
This 257-nucleotide ribosomal RNA is filed under the name uncultured soil bacterium. Its description in RNAcentral is "partial 16S ribosomal RNA". It matches the Rfam family "Bacterial small subunit ribosomal RNA", at positions 26 to 311 of the family's 1533-position model. The record is from RNAcentral.